RNAcentral lists this ribosomal RNA (1359 nucleotides) under uncultured bacterium. RNAcentral describes it as "bacterial SSU rRNA". It matches the Rfam family "Bacterial small subunit ribosomal RNA", at positions 8 to 1369 of the family's 1533-position model. The record is from RNAcentral.
AGAGUUUGAUCCUGGCUCAGGAUGAACGCUGGCGGCGUGCUUAACACAUGCAAGUCGAACGAAGCACCUGGAUUUGACUCUUCGGAUGAAGAUCCUUGUGACUGAGUGGCGGACGGGUGAGUAACGCGUGGGUAACCUGCCUCAUACAGGGGGAUAACAGUUAGAAAUGACUGCUAAUACCGCAUAAGACCACAGGGUCGCAUGACCUGGUGGGAAAAACUCCGGUGGUAUGAGAUGGACCCGCGUCUGAUUAGGUAGUUGGUGGGGUAACGGCCUACCAAGCCGACGAUCAGUAGCCGACCUGAGAGGGUGACCGGCCACAUUGGGACUGAGACACGGCCCAAACUCCUACGGGAGGCAGCAGUGGGGAAUAUUGCACAAUGGGGGAAACCCUGAUGCAGCGACGCCGCGUGAGCGAAGAAGUAUUUCGGUAUGUAAAGCUCUAUCAGCAGGGAAGAAAAUGACGGUACCUGACUAAGAAGCACCGGCUAAAUACGUGCCAGCAGCCGCGGUAAUACGUAUGGUGCAAGCGUUAUCCGGAUUUACUGGGUGUAAAGGGAGCGUAGACGGCUGUGUAAGUCUGAAGUGAAAGCCCGGGGCUCAACCCCGGGACUGCUUUGGAAACUAUGCAGCUAGAGUGUCGGAGAGGUAAGUGGAAUCCCCAGUGUAGCGGUGAAAUGCGUAGAUAUUGGGAGGAACACCAGUGGCGAAGGCGGCUUACUGGACGAUGACUGACGUUGAGGCUCGAAAGCGUGGGGAGCAAACAGGAUUAGAUACCGUGGUAGUCCACGCCUAAAACGAUGACUACUAGGUGUCGGGGAGCAAAGCUCUUCGGUGCCGCAGCAAACGCAAUAAGUAGUCCACCUGGGGAGUACGUUCGCAAGAAUGAAACUCAAAGGAAUUGACGGGGACCCGCACAAGCGGUGGAGCAUGUGGUUUAAUUGGAAGCAACGCGAAGAACCUUACCUGCUCUUGACAUCCCGGUGACCGGCAUGUAAUGAUGCCUUUUCUUCGGAACACCGGUGACAGGUGGUGCAUGGUUGCCGUCAGCUCGUGUCGUGAGAUGUUGGGUUAAGUCCCGCAACGAGCGCAACCCUUAUCUUCAGUAGCCAGCAUUUGAGGUGGGCACUCUGGAGAGACUGCCAGGGAUAACCUGGAGGAAGGUGGGGAUGACGUCAAAUCAUCAUGCCCCUUAUGAGCAGGGCUACACACGUGCUACAAUGGCGUAAACAAAGGGAAGCGAACCUGUGAGGGUAAGCAAAUCUCAAAAAUAACGUCUCAGUUCGGAUUGUAGUCUGCAACUCGACUACAUGAAGCUGGAAUCGCUAGUAAUCGCGAAUCAGCAUGUCGCGUGAAUAC